CGAAGUAAGAAAGGGCGUACGGUGGAUGCCUAGGCUCUCACAGGCGAUGAAGGACGUGAUAAGCUGCGAUAAGCUUCGGGGAGGUGCAAAUGACCUUUGAUCCGGAGAUUUCCGAAUGGGACAACCCGGCAGGCUGAAGGCCUGUCAUCCGAUGAAUAUCGGAGGCAAACGCGGGGAACUGAAACAUCUUAGUACCCGCAGGAAGAGAAAAUAAAAAUGAUUUCCCUAGUAGUGGCGAGCGAACGGGGAAGAGCCCAAACCGCUGCGGUUCCGGCCGCGGCGGGGUUGUAGGACUGCGACAUCGAGAAGAAGAAGUGAGUGGAACGUACUGGAAAGUGCGGCCAUAGCGGGUGAUAGCCCCUUACACGAAGCCUCUUUCAUCGUAGCAGUAUCCUGAGUAGCGCGGGACACGUGAAAUCCUGUGUGAAUCCGGCGGGCCCAUCCGCCAAGGCUAAAUACUCGUGAGAGACCGAUAGUGAACCAGUACCGUGAGGGAAAGGUGAAAAGCACCGCGCGUAGCGGAGUGAAAUAGUCCCUGAACCCGUACGCCUACAAGCGGUCGGAGCAACAUUAUGUUGUGACGGCGUGCCUUUUGCAUAAUGAACCUACGAGUUGCCGUCGCCGGCGAGGUUAAGCGCAACGAUGCGCGCAGCCGAAGCGAAAGCGAGUCUUAAACGGGCGCAUAGUCCGCGGCGGCAGACGCGAAACCGAGUGAUCUACCCUUGUCCAGGCUGAAGUCCGGGUAACACCGGAUGGAGGGCCGAACCAAUAAGCGUUGAAAAGCUUCUGGAUGAGGUGAGGGUAGGAGUGAAAGGCCAAUCAAACUCGGAGAUAGCUCGUACUCCCCGAAAUGCAUUUAGGUGCAGCCCCCGUUGUUUCCUGCAUGAGGUAGAGCGACUGAUCGGAUGCGAGGGCUUCACCGCCUAUCAAGUCCGGACAAACUCCGAAUGCGUGCAGGUUAGAGACGGGGAGUGAGGGCAUGGGUGCUAAGGUCCGUGCCCGAGAGGAGAAGAAUCCAGACCGCCGGCUAAGGUCCCGAAUUACAGGUUAAGUUAGUCUAACGAAGUGUUGUCCCGAAGACAGCUAGGAUGUUGGCUUGGAAGCAGCCAUUCAUUCAAAGAGUGCGUAACAGCUCACUAGUCGAGGGACGUCGCAUGGAUAAUAAUCGGGUAUGAAAUCUGUAACCGAAGCCGCGGGAUGUCUUAAGACAUCGGUAGGGGAGCAUUCCACCGGCGUUGAAUGUCGAAGAUGACUUCGGCUGGAGCUUGUGGAAAAGCAAAUGUAGGUAUAAGUAACGAUAAAGAGGGUUAGAUGCCCUCUCGCCGAAAGACCAAGGAUUCCCGGGCAACGUUAAUCGCCCCGGGGUUAGUCGGGCCCUAAGGAUAAGCCGAACGGCGAGGCCGAUGGAAGAAACGGUUAAUAUUCCGUUACUGCCUUGCAUGGCGAUGUGGAGACGGAGAAGUGACACUUCCGCGCACUGACGGAAACGUGCGUUGAAGAGUGUAGGCGUAGAUCGUGGUAGGCAAAUCCGCCGCGAGAGCCGAACUUGACAGUACGCAAAGCCUUCGGGCGGCGCGAUAGCGAAGGUAAGCAAGCUCCCGAGAAAAUCCGCUAAGCUUAACAUGCAAGGCACCCGUACCGUAAACGGACACACGUGGUCGGGUAGAAAAUACUAAGGCGCUUGGAAGAUUCACGGUUAAGGAACUAGGCAAAUUGACCCCGUACCUUCGGAAUAAGGGGUCCUCACAGCGAUGUGAGGCGCAGAGAAUAGGUCCAGGCAACUGUUUAACAAAAACACAGGGCUGUGCAAAUUCGAAAGAUGAAGUAUACAGCCUGACACCUGCCCGGUGCUGGAAGGUUAAGAGGAGAUGUCACCGCAAGGGAAGCAUCGAAUUGAAGCCCCAGUAAACGGCGGCCGUAACUAUAACGGUCCUAAGGUAGCGAAAUUCCUUGUCGGGUAAGUUCCGACCUGCACGAAUGGUGUAAUGAUCCGGACACUGUCUCAACCGUGAGCUCGGUGAAAUUGUAGUA
Molecule: ribosomal RNA, 2031 nt
Filed under: metagenome
Description: bacterial LSU rRNA
Rfam family: Bacterial large subunit ribosomal RNA
Source: RNAcentral